RNAcentral lists this ribosomal RNA (62 nucleotides) under Thamnolia subuliformis. RNAcentral's name for it is "partial 18S ribosomal RNA". The record is from RNAcentral. Lineage: Eukaryota; Fungi; Ascomycota; Lecanoromycetes; Pertusariales; Icmadophilaceae.
AUACGAGCAACGUUCACAGACUAGGUGGUUGUGGGUGGAGUCGAAUCUCCGCUUAAGAUAUA